UACGUAGGGGGCGAGCGUUGUCCGGAUUUAUUGGGCGUAAAGCGUCCGCAGGCGGUGGACCAAGUUCGGAGUGACAAUUGGUGGCUCAACUACCAAAGGGCUUUGAAAACUGGUCGACUUGAGGGCUUCAGAGGGAAACGGAACUCCGGGUGUAGUGGUGAAAUGCGUAGAUAUCCGGAAGAACACCAAAGGCGAAGGCAGUUUCCUGGGGAGCACCUGACGCUCGUGGACGAAAGCCAGGGGAG
This 245-nucleotide ribosomal RNA is filed under the name uncultured bacterium. RNAcentral's name for it is "partial 16S ribosomal RNA". It matches the Rfam family "Bacterial small subunit ribosomal RNA", at positions 524 to 768 of the family's 1533-position model. The record is from RNAcentral.